UACUAGAUAGCUCAGUUGGUAGAGCGCGGCACUAGUAAUGCCGAGGUCUACGGUUCAACUCCGGCAAGUUUAAUCU
Molecule: non-coding RNA, 76 nt
Organism: Extremus antarcticus
Lineage: Eukaryota; Fungi; Ascomycota; Dothideomycetes; Mycosphaerellales; Extremaceae
Source: the annotation of a GenBank genome assembly